Misgurnus anguillicaudatus (oriental weatherfish) is the source of this 1645-nucleotide non-coding RNA. The record is from RefSeq and is a predicted model, not a curated record. NCBI's taxonomy places the organism in Eukaryota, Metazoa, Chordata, Actinopteri, Cypriniformes, Cobitidae.
AAUAUUUUUAACACUUUAGGGUCAGUCAAAUGUUCUAUGAUUUGUUGUUAAUAAUCAGUUCUAUGAUUGGUUAAAGCCUAGGCGACUGCCGCUCACGAAAAGAUAAAGGGCGUAUUCCAAUAGCAUAUUAUUAUCCCUAUGCCCUAUUCCCUUCGAAGAUCAGAACACUUGAUGUAUAAACUCUAGAGAAAGUUGCACAAUUGUCUCAUGGUGUGGUCAAUUCAAAUAGACUUGGCAAAUAGAGCAAUAAAAUACGCACAUCAGUUUCUCUUUAUUUGGAUAGACUGUGUGACGUCCCCUUCCUGAAGUGCCCUUCAAGGGCGCUAAAACGCCAUUUGGAAUUCACCCCGCUUUCAGCAUGAACUUGACUGUCGCGUCCCAUCUCAAAGGCCGAUAAAACAGCUGGCGUACUAAUAAAAACAUAAGUAAAUUAAUAGGUUUCAGCAAUUCUUCUGAAGAAAUGUUACCAUAUCUUUCUCUGGAAAAAUAAGCUGCAUGCCUUCAAAGCAAGUGUAAUUGCAGAUUCAUGCGCUUCUAAUCUCAUUUUCCAAAUUGUUCUUUUAAAGAGCAACUUGAAAGUUAAACCACCCAUUCACUCAAAGUACAGAAAAAUACUGUAGGAAAUAGAUUCAAAAAUAUAUAUUUUUCUAAAUGCACUAAUUAGGCUUCUGGGGUCAUUUUUGUAAGAAAAUUUUAGACCCGCCUCUAAAAACCGCCAAACCGGAAGUGACAUCACGAGAGGCGCACGCUGGAUCGCAAUGACAGUUCUUCGGACGCUGAGGAACGAGCAAAUGUUUAUUCAUACUCGUAUGGCGAACUACAGCCAUACAAUUAUGAGUUUGCUAUGCAGCCAAGAGUGCAGGGACUGGUCAGGAUUAAACAGAACGGUCAGAGGAGACAAAUUGAAGUGUUAUGUGAGGAGAAAAGGACAGAUGUGUGGGUGAGAUCAGUCAUCUGGCAAGAUGUAAUACUGUGCUCAGAUCACAAGAUUGUACAGAUUAUUAUCAUAUAUCAUGCAAUAGCAAAGAUAGUAUUGAUACUUUAUGUCUUUUUAAUGCUUAUAAGUUAUGUUAAUAUCCAUCCACACUUACGUUAGGUGAUACAGAUGUUGCUCAUCACCGCAGGAGAGGUGAGCUGUCUGAACCCAUAUGUGCUACAGGCCAGGCCAGUAGAAAUGAUUUUCCCAUCUCCAGACAAUACCACUAAAUACAGCAUAGGCAAGUUAUCCGCUGGGCGUCUAAGGAACUCUGUGCAGGCGCCCUUACCUACAUGUGUCAGCCAUUCAAGAACAGGUUCCAGAGGAAGGAGGACUUUAUAAAUGAUCCCAACAGCUUCAGCCUUGUUGAUCCUCUGGAUGGAUCUGGAGAGGGGAGCAGGUGUAGUGGAAGACAGGACAGUGCUGCAUUCUCGUAGAGCCUGUGGUGACCUGGAGUAUUCCAGAACAGAAUAUUUAAAUAGAUUACAUUUAUUUGUCCCUGUUAACAGUGUACACCAAAGUAAUACAGUUCUGAUAAAAAAUGUAUAGUCAAAGUGGUUUUGAUGGUUUUGGUGAUGAGUCAGCUUUAUAUUAUUUUUUGAAAGCGAUAUACAAUGCUAUUGUUCAAACAUUUACAAUCUUUUAACAAAAAACAACCGCUUACUGCAA